ACGGGUGAGUAACACGUGGGAACGUACCCUUUGGUUCGGAAUAACGCUGGGAAACUAGCGCUAAUACCGGAUACGCCCUUUUGGGGAAAGGCUUGCUGCCGAAGGAUCGGCCCGCGUCUGAUUAGCUAGUUGGUGGGGUAAUGGCCUACCAAGGCGACGAUCAGUAGCUGGUCUGAGAGGAUGAUCAGCCACACUGGGACUGAGACACGGCCCAGACUCCUACGGGAGGCAGCAGUGGGGAAUAUUGGACAAUGGGCGCAAGCCUGAUCCAGCCAUGCCGCGUGAGUGAUGAAGGCCUUAGGGUUGUAAAGCUCUUUUGUCCGGGACGAUAAUGACGGUACCGGAAGAAUAAGCCCCGGCUAACUUCGUGCCAGCAGCCGCGGUAAUACGAAGGGGGCUAGCGUUGCUCGGAAUCACUGGGCGUAAAGGGCGCGUAGGCGGCCAUUCAAGUCGGGGGUGAAAGCCUGUGGCUCAACCACAGAAUUGCCUUCGAUACUGCUUGGCUUGAGUUUGGUAGAGGUUGGUGGAACUGCGAGUGUAGAGGUGAAAUUCGUAGA
Molecule: ribosomal RNA, 557 nt
Filed under: uncultured Methylobacterium sp.
Lineage: Bacteria; Pseudomonadati; Pseudomonadota; Alphaproteobacteria; Hyphomicrobiales; Methylobacteriaceae
Description: bacterial SSU rRNA
Rfam family: Bacterial small subunit ribosomal RNA
Source: RNAcentral